CCCCGACCCACGAAACAAAAAGAGCAGGUCAACCCCGGCCCACGACCUCGACCUCCUUCCUCCACCCACGAACUCUCCCCUCCACCCACUCCCUCCACCUCCUUCCUUCAGCCGGGGCCGCGCCCACCCCCAUCCCGCCCCACCUCCCCCUCGCGGCGCCGCCCCACCUCCCUCCACGGCGCCGCACCACCACCAUCCUCCCCCGCGGCGCCGCCCCACCUCCCUCCAUCGCGCCGCACCACCACUACCCUCCCCCGCGCCGUCGCACCACCUCCCACCACCGCGCCGCACCACUAUCCUCCCUCGCACUGUCGCACCACCUCCCACCACCGCGCCGCACCACCACCUCCCCCCACGCCGCCGCCCACCUCCCACCACCGCGCCGCACCGGGAGCUCCCUCCCUCGCGCUGCCCGCCCCGGCCACCACGACGGAUCCGAGCAGCCCCCGCCAUCCCGCGCCCAACCGGUGAUGGAUCCGAGCUCCUCCUCCACAUGCCUCCUCCCAACCCCAUGCUGUUCAUCUCGAUGUAUCCCCCAGAUCCGGUGAGACCUCGCCCAUUCAGGUGGUGCGGCUCCUGGUGGGGAUGGGCCAGAUCGAGCCCGGCCAUCAACGGUGACCCCUUUCGGCCUAGAUACAUGGCUAGCGGCAGUGGCUGGGCCAGCCUCUCCUCCUUCCUCCCCUGGUCAAGAUCCAUGGUUCAUCCAUGGGGUUGUUCUGGCAUCGGCCAGGACGCCAGGUUGCGGUGCGGCACCGAUGCCAUGUUGUUCGGGGCGAUACAUGGUGUGGUUCAUAUCGCGCAUGCAGUUUGGAGCAUGGGAACAUGCAAUGCAAAAAUGUUGCGUUUUGUGUAUAAAAAAUACGAACUCAUUUGAAUGCAAUUCACGCCUAGACAUGUGUUCAGCAAAUGCAGUUUGGAGUAUCUGCGCAUGCAGUGCAGACCGUGCUUUUUGUGUUUGAGGAUUUUAUGUAUAAAAAUUACAGGAACUCGUUUGAUUGCAGUAUGCGAUGAAACAUGGUGAUGUUUAGAGUUCAGCAUGCAGUUUGGGCCAUGUGGACAUGCAGUGCAGAAUGGUGUUUUUCCGUGUUUGAUGAUUUUAUUUAUGUAUAAAAGUUAUAUGGACUCAUUUGAAAAUUGUUUACAAAGGAAGUUCAUUUUGAA
This is a long non-coding RNA of Triticum aestivum (bread wheat), 1161 nucleotides long. RefSeq lists it as uncharacterized. Lineage: Eukaryota; Viridiplantae; Streptophyta; Magnoliopsida; Poales; Poaceae. The transcript is spliced from 2 exons. The record is from RefSeq and is a predicted model, not a curated record.